This is a long non-coding RNA of Corythoichthys intestinalis (scribbled pipefish), 1376 nucleotides long. RefSeq lists it as uncharacterized. The transcript has 8 exons. NCBI's taxonomy places the organism in Eukaryota, Metazoa, Chordata, Actinopteri, Syngnathiformes, Syngnathidae. The record is from RefSeq and is a predicted model, not a curated record.
GGCCGCACUGAAAAAAAGUUUUUAAAAGCGUAUGCAUGUUUAAAAAUGUUAAAUAGUUAAACAACACUUGCGGUGAAAAUAUGAAGUGUUUAUUCUGAGUUGAAAAGACCGUACUUAUAUCUAGUAUUCUUAAUGUAAUUUAAAUAAUGUCUUCCUUUACUAACUGCAUAUGACUUUGCUCUACUUAUAUUGUUUAAUACGUACUGAUGAAUUCAGCAGCGAAUUGGCUAAUGCUGCUAAUGAUUUUACUUUUUUUUUCACAAUGAACAGUCUUCUUUGUGUAGUUUUCAUUAUAUUGCACUCUUAUUUUUCAUUAUGUACAUGCCUGCAAUUCGCAGCUCGCUGUUUUUGUUGUUGUAUGGUAUUGUUGUUUUGCCUUCAUUUGUUUUGUCUGGUCCUUUGUAGUUUGAAUGUUGUCACAUGAUCCAAAUAGGACAAGGUUGUAAUUUUUUCUUCAUAUUGUUACUCUGCUUAGCUAUAUAUUUUUUCAUCAUUAUUAUUAUUAUUUUUUACUAGCUCCUUGAUCACCACCCCAUUGGGAAGAAACUAAAUCACGACCCCCAAAUGGUAGUCUUCCCAUGCAGAUACAGGGAUGUCACACAGAUCCAAAUGGAAACAUCGAACACUGUAAAACCCACUGUGCAGACAGGACCAAUGGUGACAAUAUAAGACCAUGCCGAGCUUCAUGGACGGUUCAAACUCAUCCUGCCCAGGAACGGCUGAAAACGUUUACAGUCAAUCAACAGGGGAACAUGGAAAGAGAGGAUUGGAAGUGAAAUAGAGGUAUUUGGAAAACCAUAGGGGAAGGACUGUGGCAUCUUCAUGUUGAUGGUAGACUGAUAUGCCAACUCUGAGGAAGUGGUGGUGUAUAUUGCUAGCGGACAAUUUCAAACUUGGGUGCAUGCCACAGGAAAGAGUUUGCCCUAUGGACAGAUGAGGCAAAAGCAUUACUGCAGGGUUAAGUGCCACCAGUCUAUCAGUUACAGAGGUGAAAUUUGAAUAUAAUUGCUGAGGAAGAGGUGCAACCACAGCUCCUUCAAGUUAGUGGUGGCCCACUCCAAAAAGAUAUGGCGGGAAAAAAUGUUUUGCUAAAAGGAUUGUGCAAGACAGCACAAAAGCCUCGGACAGGGCUGGGGGUGUGGAAUCAAUGCAGUAGGAGUUCCCAAGUAUCCUGCAGAUGGAAGAGGAUGAGCACGAACUACAAUGUCUUGGAGCCAUUCAAGUUCUGUUUCAACCAUCUGGAAGAUGGAUUUACCUUUUUUGAGGAGAUUGUUGACUAAAGAAAAUAUCUGGUGUUCUCUCAAUAAUAAUAAAAAAUAAUAAAACUAAAAAAAUAAAGUUUACCACAUUAGAACUGGUUGUAUUGAGUUCAUUUU